AAACCGUUACCAUUACUGUGCU
Molecule: microRNA, 22 nt
Filed under: Sarcophilus harrisii (Tasmanian devil)
Lineage: Eukaryota; Metazoa; Chordata; Mammalia; Dasyuromorphia; Dasyuridae
Description: Sha-Mir-451_5p (mature (guide))
Source: RNAcentral